RNAcentral lists this transfer RNA (117 nucleotides) under Nemania serpens. RNAcentral's name for it is "tRNA-Glu". It matches the Rfam family "tRNA". Rfam says of the family: Transfer RNA (tRNA) molecules are approximately 80 nucleotides in length. Their secondary structure includes four short double-helical elements and three loops (D, anti-codon, and T loops). Lineage: Eukaryota; Fungi; Ascomycota; Sordariomycetes; Xylariales; Xylariaceae. The record is from RNAcentral.
UCCGAAUUGGUGUAGUGGCUAACAUUUGACGCUCUCAAUCACAUCCCACAACAUCUAUUGUGUGCUGUUGUUGAUGGAAGUGCCGUCAAGCCCGGGGUUCGAUUCCCCGAUUCGGAG